UUGGAGGGCAAGUCUGGUGYCAGCAGCCGCGGUAAUUCCAGCUCCAAUAGCGUAUAUUAAAGUUGUUGCGGUUAAAAAGCUCGUAGUUGAAUCUGUGUGUCACGAUGCUGGUUCACCGCUCGCGGUGUUUAACUAGCAUGCCGUGAGACGUCCUACCGGUGGGCUUAGCUCUUCACGGGCGGUCCAACUAAUAUCCCAUCGCGGUGCUCUUCGUUGAGUGUCGAGGUGGGCCGGUACGUUUACUUUGAACAAAUUAGAGUGCUUAAAGCAGGCUAUCUUCGCCUGAAUACUGUGUGCAUGGAAUAAUGGAAUAGGACCUCGGUUCUAUUUUGUUGGUUUUCGGAACCCCGAGGUAAUGAUUAAUAGGGACAGAUGGGGGCAUUCGUAUUGCGACGUUAGAGGUGAAAUUCUUGGAUCGUCGCAAGACGGACAGAAGCGAAAGCAUUUGCCAAAAAUGUUUUCAUUAAUCAAGAACGAAAGUUAGAGGUUCGAAGGCGAUCAGAUACCGCCCUAGUUCUAACCAUAAACGAUGCCAGCUAGCGAUCCGCCGAAGUUCCUCCGAUGASKCGGCGGGCAGCUUCCGGGAAACCAAAGCUUUUGGGUUCCGGGGGAAGUAUGGUUGCAAAGCUGAAACUUAAAGGAAUUGACGGAAGGGCACCACCAGGAGUGG
This 670-nucleotide ribosomal RNA is filed under the name Cyclaulus sp. n. BFS-2018. RNAcentral's name for it is "SSU rRNA". It matches the Rfam family "Eukaryotic small subunit ribosomal RNA", at positions 550 to 1190 of the family's 1831-position model. The record is from RNAcentral. Lineage: Eukaryota; Metazoa; Arthropoda; Insecta; Hymenoptera; Ichneumonidae.